RNAcentral lists this ribosomal RNA (274 nucleotides) under uncultured bacterium. RNAcentral describes it as "partial 16S ribosomal RNA". It matches the Rfam family "Bacterial small subunit ribosomal RNA", at positions 523 to 796 of the family's 1533-position model. The record is from RNAcentral.
AUACGGAGGGUGCAAGCGUUAUUCGGAAUCACUGGGCGUAAAGGACACGUAGGCGGGAAGCCAAGUCUGAUGUGAAAUCCUAUGGCUCAACCAUAGAACUGCAUUGGAAACUGGUUACCUAGAGUAUGGGAGGGGGAGAUGGAAUUAGUGGUGUAGGGGUAAAAUCCGUAGAUAUCACUAGGAAUACCUAAAGCGAAGGCGAUCUCCUGGAACAUUACUGACGCUAAGGUGUGAAAGCGUGGGGAGCAAACGGGAUUAGAAACCCUAGUAGUCC